CCCUUAGAUGUUCUGGGCUGCACGCGUGCUACACUGAUAUUGCCAAUAUGUCAUUCUUAUCCGAAAUGGAUUGGGUAAUCAAGUAAUGAAAUUUCAUGCUUGGAAUCGGUAAUUGCAAUUUUAUCGUGAACGAGGAAUUCCUAGUAAGCGCAAGUCAACAGCUUGCGUUGAUUACGUCCCUGCCCUUUGUACACACCGCCCGUCGCUACUACUGAUUGGAUGUUUAAGCGAGGUUCUCGAACUGCUAGCGACUUAGCUUCGGUGAGGUCGCAGUGUGGGAAGUGAACCUAGCUUUGGUGUCUAGAGGAAGUAAAAGUCGUAACA
This 324-nucleotide ribosomal RNA is filed under the name uncultured eukaryote. Its description in RNAcentral is "partial 18S ribosomal RNA". It matches the Rfam family "Eukaryotic small subunit ribosomal RNA", at positions 1470 to 1796 of the family's 1831-position model. The record is from RNAcentral.